RNAcentral lists this transfer RNA (67 nucleotides) under Coccotorus chaoi. RNAcentral's name for it is "tRNA-Gln". Lineage: Eukaryota; Metazoa; Arthropoda; Insecta; Coleoptera; Curculionidae. The record is from RNAcentral.
UACAUUUAAGUAUUUAUGUACAAGAAUUUUUGAUAUUCUAAGUAAUAGGGAAAUCUAUUAAGUGUAG